This 253-nucleotide ribosomal RNA is filed under the name uncultured bacterium. RNAcentral describes it as "partial 16S ribosomal RNA". It matches the Rfam family "Bacterial small subunit ribosomal RNA", at positions 524 to 776 of the family's 1533-position model. The record is from RNAcentral.
UACGAAGGGGGCUAGCGUUGUUCGGAAUUACUGGGCGUAAAGCGCGCGCAGGCGGUCUUCCAAGUCAGUGGUGAAAGCCCGGAGCUCAACUCCGGAACUGCCAUUGAAACUGUUGGACUUGAGUACGAGAGAGGUGAGUGGAAUUCCCAGUGUAGAGGUGAAAUUCGUAGAUAUUGGGAAGAACACCGGUGGCGAAGGCGGCGACCUGGUCCUUGACUGACGCUGAGGCGCGAAAGCGUGGGGAGCAAACAGG